RNAcentral lists this ribosomal RNA (214 nucleotides) under uncultured bacterium. Its description in RNAcentral is "partial 16S ribosomal RNA". It matches the Rfam family "Bacterial small subunit ribosomal RNA", at positions 1287 to 1500 of the family's 1533-position model. The record is from RNAcentral.
CUCAGUUCAGAUUGCAGGCUGCAACCCGCCUGCAUGAAGUCGGAAUUGCUAGUAAUGGCAGGUCAGCAUACUGCCGUGAAUACGUUCCCGGGCCUUGUACACACCGCCCGUCACACCAUGAGAGUCGGGAACACCCGAAGUCCGUAGCCUAACCGCAAGGAGGGCGCGGCCGAAGGUGGGUUCGAUAAUUGGGGUGAAGUCGUAACAAGGUACC